This 220-nucleotide long non-coding RNA is filed under the name Fukomys damarensis (Damara mole-rat). RNAcentral describes it as "lncRNA (ENSFDAG00000023492.1)". Lineage: Eukaryota; Metazoa; Chordata; Mammalia; Rodentia; Bathyergidae. The record is from RNAcentral.
CUCACCAUGUAGCCAGGCUGGCCUUAAACUCUCAGAGAUCCUCCUGUCUCCGUCUUCUGGGCACUAGGAUGACGGUGUGUGCCACCACAUCCAGCUUGUAACUUCAGAGUCUUAAAGUACAUGCCUAACAUUAGACUUUCCCAGAACAUAACCAUCACAACGCCAAAUGUUGCCUUCUUAAGGACUCUGCUGAGGGAACUGUCUACCCACCUGUACCCCA